RNAcentral lists this ribosomal RNA (301 nucleotides) under uncultured bacterium. Its description in RNAcentral is "partial 16S ribosomal RNA". It matches the Rfam family "Bacterial small subunit ribosomal RNA", at positions 509 to 807 of the family's 1533-position model. The record is from RNAcentral.
CAGUCGCCGCGGGAAUACGUAGGUGGCAAGCGUUGUCCGGAAUUAUUGGGCGUAAAGCGCGCGCAGGUGGUUUAAUAAGUCUGAUGUGAAAGCCCACGGCUCAACCGUGGAGGGUCAUUGGAAACUGUUAAACUUGAGUGCAGGAGAGAAAAGUGGAAUUCCUAGUGUAGCGAUGAAAUGCGUAGAGAUUAGGAGGAACACCAGUGGCGAAGGCGGCUUUUUGGCCUGUAACUGACACUGAGGCGCGAAAGCGUGGGGAGCAAACAGGAUUAGAUACCCCUGUAGUCCCUGUCUCUUAUAC